UUAUAGUUAGGGCCUAUAGGGAGGAUAUAACUAGACCAGGACCAGAGUUAUAGUUAGGGUCUAUAGGGAGGAUAUAACUAGACCAGGACCAGAGUUAUAGUUAGGGCCUAUAGGGAGAAUAUAACUAGACCAGAGUUAUAGUUAGGGCCUAUAGGGAGAAUAUAACUAGACCAGAGUUAUAGUUAGGGCCUAUAGGGAGAAUAUAACUAGACCAGAGUUAUAGUUAGGGCCUAUAUGGAGAAUAUAACUAGACCAGAGUUAUAGUUAGGGUCUACAGGGAGAAUAUAACUAGACCAGGACCAGAGUUAUAGUUAAGGCCAAUAGGGAGAAUAUAACUAGACCAGGACCAGAGUUAUAGUUAGGGCCUAUAGGGAGGAUAUAACUAGACCAGGACCAGAGUUAUAUUUAGGGCCUAUAGGGAGAAUAUAACUAGACCAGAGUUAUAGUUAGGGCCUAUAGGGAGAAUAUAACUAGACCAGAGUUAUAGUUAUGGCCAAUAGGGAGAAUAUAACUAGACCAGGACCAGAGUUAUAGUUAGGGCCUAUAGGGAGAAUAUAACUAGACCAGGACCAGAGUUAUAGUUAGGGCCUAAAGGGAGGAUAUAACUAGACCAGGACCAGAGUUAUAGUUAGGGCCUAUAGGGAGAAUAUAACUAGACCAGGACCAGAGUUAUAGUUAGGGCCUAUAGUCAGGAUAUAACUAGACCAGGACCAGAGUUAUAGUUAGGGCCUAUAGGGAGAAUAUAACUAGACCAGAGUUAUAGUUAGGGCCUAUGGGGAGAAUAUAACUAGACCAGAGUUGUAGUUAGGGCAUAUAGGGAGAAUAUAACUAGACCAGGACCAGAGUUAUAGUUAGGGUCUAUAGGGAGAAUAUAACUAGACCAGGACCAGAGCUAUAGUUAGGGCCUAUAGGGAGGAUAUAACUAGACCAGAGUUAUAGUUAGGGCCUAUAGGGAGAAUAUAACUAGACCAGAGUUAUAGUUAGGGCCUAUAGGGAGAAUAUAACUAGAC
Molecule: long non-coding RNA, 1010 nt
Filed under: Salmo salar (Atlantic salmon)
Lineage: Eukaryota; Metazoa; Chordata; Actinopteri; Salmoniformes; Salmonidae
Description: lncRNA (ENSSSAG00000090508.1)
Source: RNAcentral